AGCACAUAAGAAUCCCUCCAGUUGGUGAAGUUCUUACCCCGUUCUAUAAGACUACUGUUAAGAAACUUCAGCAUUAUGAUCUUCCUUUAGUCGGCCAUGUGAACCACAAUUUCUCUGUGCAUGCCAUACACAUGGGAGAAGAUGUCUUAUCUGUUUUUGAGCAUGCUAUAAAAGUUCUAUCCUGUAAAGAUGAUCUCGUGGAUUCCAG
Long non-coding RNA from Zea mays, 208 nucleotides. RefSeq lists it as uncharacterized. The transcript has 2 exons. The record is from RefSeq and is a predicted model, not a curated record. NCBI's taxonomy places the organism in Eukaryota, Viridiplantae, Streptophyta, Magnoliopsida, Poales, Poaceae.